This 310-nucleotide ribosomal RNA is filed under the name uncultured bacterium. RNAcentral describes it as "bacterial SSU rRNA". It matches the Rfam family "Bacterial small subunit ribosomal RNA", at positions 30 to 334 of the family's 1533-position model. The record is from RNAcentral.
AUUGAACGCUGGUGGCAUGCUUAACACAUGCAAGUCGAACGGAAACGAUGUAUAGCUUGCUAUACAGGCGUCGAGUGGCGGACGGGUGAGUAAAGCAUAGGAAUCUGCCUUUUAGUGGGGGAUAACUUAGGGAAACUUAAGCUAAUACCGCAUAAUACCUAAGGGUUAAAGCGUGGGAUCUUCGGACCACGUGCUAGGAGAUGAGCCUAUGUCAGAUUAGCUAGUUGGUGGGGUAAAGGCUUACCAAGGCGACGAUCUGUAGCUGUUCUGAGAGGAAGAUCAGCCACACUGGGACUGAGACACGGCCCAG